GGAGUUGUGGCUCAGUGGUAGAGAGCUUGCCUAGAACACAUUAGGCACUGGGUUUGAUCCCCAACACCUCUU
Molecule: transfer RNA, 72 nt
Filed under: Ictidomys tridecemlineatus (thirteen-lined ground squirrel)
Lineage: Eukaryota; Metazoa; Chordata; Mammalia; Rodentia; Sciuridae
Description: Spermophilus tridecemlineatus (thirteen-lined ground squirrel) tRNA
Rfam family: tRNA
About the family: Transfer RNA (tRNA) molecules are approximately 80 nucleotides in length.
Source: Rfam by way of RNAcentral